This 253-nucleotide ribosomal RNA is filed under the name uncultured bacterium. Its description in RNAcentral is "partial 16S ribosomal RNA". It matches the Rfam family "Bacterial small subunit ribosomal RNA", at positions 524 to 776 of the family's 1533-position model. The record is from RNAcentral.
UACGUAGGGUGCGAGCGUUGUCCGGAAUUACUGGGCGUAAAGAGCUCGUAGGUGGUUUGUCGCGUUGUUCGUGAAAACUCACAGCUUAACUGUGGGCGUGCGGGCGAUACGGGCAGACUGGAGUACUGCAGGGGAGACUGGAAUUCCUGGUGUAGCGGUGGAAUGCGCAGAUAUCAGGAGGAACACCGGUGGUGAAGGCGGGUCUCUGGGCAAUUCCUGACGCUGAGGCGCGAAAGCGUGGGGAGCAAACGGG